CGCAAGUGUCCUCUCUAUGCCCUAUACUCACUCCGAACUGCAGAGCCCUUGAAGUGGGUACUCUGAAGGAAACAUGGCAAUACUGUAUGAAUGUACCCUUCGCAAACAGUCUUGUGGAAGGGCCCUCUGAGACAAGAUUCAUUUUCUCACUUUCGUUUUGAACGAGCUUUCAAGUGGCAUCCCCUCUCGCAGGAGUGCCCUGCAAGGAAGCAAAAAAUGCAGUUUUGAAUUCGCCCCGGAACAUCGAAGUGCCGUUACCUCAGACGAGUAACAGGUGGUCCAAAGAUCUGGUCUGUGAGUUCCAGAGGGCUUUGGAUCUGUCUGGUGGGGUAGUCGCCCAUGUAUUUCAGGAUAGGUGGACACCAUUUCAUUCAAGGAAUCAACACUUUCUUGGAUUAUACCCUACCUGGAUAACAGGCCCUAUUAAGUUAGGAUCUCAGAGUGCCUUUCCAACAUGUCAAAGUGGAGUACUCAUCAUCUGAGGCUCAAUUUUGUCAAAUCCCUCUCUAACGUAGUCAAAGGCCACACAGUCAAAAGUUCCAGGUUUAAGAUGCUUGAUGUCAUCCUAGAUGACCAGCCCUUCUUUGACUGACCCUAUUAACUUUCUUACUGCACAUUCCUGAUCUUAUUACAAACGGUUCAUCAGUGCAUGCUUCUCUUCGUAAUAUUUAAUCAAAAUGUAAUCCUUUGUUUAUCCUCUGUAACUACUUGUCUUUUCAAAUGACAACAGUUGUAGCCAUGCAGGCAAUAGGAUAAUGUUAAUUCUAUCAGAAAAGGCUCUCUGGAUUAUUGGGAUUAAUAGAAAUACUUAUAUAAUUUGGCAUAAGCCUCAUCCUACGGUUCAGAGCUCGGAUACUUGCUUGAACCGUCAGAUCCUGCCGGAAGCGAUGACUGGACCAAAACUGGUGAUGAUGGGGUGGAGGGGGGUGAAAACAACAGAAUAUGCCAACAAUGAGAGACAGUUGAGUGGGCUUAUAAAGUGGUGGCUGUAUUGUGAUUGGAUGAGAUGCCUGACAGAAUGAAUCCCAAAUACUUCCUGCUAGAACUACGCUUAUUGUAGGUAUUGUUUUAGCAGACUCACAGUGGGUCUGGCUUCAUUCUGGUAUGUAAUGCCCACUUACGUAAAUUCCUGAUGGAUAAAAAUUAAGUCAUGCCUUCCAUGUUUUUUUGUUGUUGAGAAUCCUGUUUCACUUGGAAAUAUGUCACAUUACAGAAGUAAAAUGAGUUGAGAACGGCAAUUUAUGUUGAUCUUAAUAGUUAUGUUUGUUAAUGAAACCCACAUUUUAAACUCUUUCUACAACAUUUUCUUACCAUGGCAAUAAACCUAUUUUUUUAUUUUAUUUCUCCCCUUUUCACCCCAAUUUGGAAUGCCCAGUUCCCAAUGCGCUCUAGGUCCUCGUGGUGGCGUAGUAACUCGCCUCAAUCCGGGUUGUGGAGGAUGAAUCUCAGUUGCCUCCGCGUCUGAGACCGUUAAUCCACGCAUCUUAUUAUGUGGCUUGUUGAGCGUGUUACCGCGGAGACAUAGUGCAUGUGGAGGUUUCACACUAUUCUCCAAUGUAUCCACGCACAACUCACCACAUGCCCCACCGAGAGCGAGAACCACAUUAUAGCGACCACGAGGAGGUUACCCUAUGUUACUCUACCCUCCCUAGCAACCGGGCCAAUUUGGUUGUCACUCAGCACGCCCUGGAUUCGAACUCACGACUCCAGGGGUGGUAGUCAGCGUCUUU
Long non-coding RNA from Myxocyprinus asiaticus (Chinese sucker), 1730 nucleotides. RefSeq lists it as uncharacterized. The transcript is spliced from 3 exons. NCBI's taxonomy places the organism in Eukaryota, Metazoa, Chordata, Actinopteri, Cypriniformes, Catostomidae. The record is from RefSeq and is a predicted model, not a curated record.